CAAAGUUAGAAAACUUAGAAUUGACAAAAUUUAAAGAAAUUUAAAGCUUGAAAAAUUAAUUGUCAUAUUAUGUUUCAAAGAAGUUUCAGGACAGGCAACUACUGCUAAAAUUGUAACUCAAAGUUAAUGCUAAAAAAUAAUUUGCAUGCAAAAGACUUUGGUAUAUAAGAUUAUGCAAUACGCUGAACUAUAACGAUAAAAAUUACCGUGGAACAAGACCGUAACGAAUGUUUGCAGUCAUCCAUAUGUGAAUUAAAAAUUAAGUAUGUUAAAGACGACUGUGCGAUGCAGGCAGAGAUCAAUAGACUGUGAAUUGAGUUAAUACAGAAUUUCGCUAGACUGAAUGUAGUUAAACCUCAAUAAUUGCAAAAAUCACAAGAUAAAAUAGAUUAAGGAACCAAUUUUAAGGAGAAAAUUCAAGAAAAAAAGUAAGAAAAGAGAAAAAUUAAUUAGAGAAGAAAAAUGGUAAGCUUAAAGGCUGAGGACAUGCAAUUGAUCUCAAAAUUAAAGUUUAUUAAUACGAAGCUAUGUAACUCACAAUUGGAAAACAAUAUUUUCAAAUUUUAGCUCACUGAGAAAGACAAAUCAAUAAAACUUUUGGAGGCAACGAAAUACAAGCUACAACGGGAAACGGAAAAGAUCAAGAAAAGCGAAGAGUUGACAGCAAAAAUGUUCAUAACAACAUGUAGAAGAGCAAACAAUUUCUAAAAAGAAAUUAAAAUUGAAAACUCAGGAUGAAUGUGAACUUAAAGAGUUAAGUAAAAAUUAUUUGAACGAAUUUCAUCUUUGGAAAAAAUGAAAUGUGCUUUAAUAUCUCUAAAUAAUGAAAAUGUUUUGCAUUGACGUCACUAAAUCGUUAAAACUUCGUUUAUUGAAAGCACGCUUUUACAAAACUUCAAAUAUCGUACAACAGUCAAUAAUUCAUGAGAAUAAGGUUCAAAUAGUUACUUCUCAUAAAAUCCAUCAUGAUAUCUAUUUACAAAACAUUUAGAUUAAAUUAUCAUACAUAACGUAGUAUUUUGAAACAAUAACGCUAAUCGAAGUAUAUAAUUCAAGCAAAUCAAAACUAUAGCUUGAUACUAUAUAAUACGCCUAAAAACAUACUAAAAAAUGCAUAGAAUUCAACCAUCAUAAUAUAUCGAUACGAAUGGAUAAAGGGCCUUCAAAAGCAGCCAAAUCAAAAGUAUUUACAAUAUAGUUGGCGAACUAACACUGGAUCUAUAAAGUUGAUAUUUAUAUACGCUGUGAAAUUAAUGAGAUUAACAAAUAACCUAAUAUCAGCUAGCAAUACACAAAAUCAAAGCUAUUCAAAAAUUCCACAAUAAUAAAAAAUAAAAAAUAAUGAGCCCUUUUUAGACAACUUUAUUUGUAUACAAUACAAUAUAAACAUAGCAUUGAAUACACUAUUUGAGCAUAAUAUAACAAUUUGACAAUAUCAAUAAAGCUUCCUUUAUUGUAAUGUUGUAAAAAAUAGUACGUACAAUGAAAUUGUAUUUGAUCGAAAUUAUGCUUAAGCAGUACUCAAAAUGUUGCGGACUUACAUCAAAUAUCGAAAAUAAUAUUUUCUAUUUUUCAGCAAUGACUUUGCAAACUUUUAUAAAAUAAAAUAAAUGUGUAGCUUUCAAUUU
Aphis gossypii (cotton aphid) is the source of this 1628-nucleotide long non-coding RNA. RefSeq lists it as uncharacterized. The transcript has 3 exons. The record is from RefSeq and is a predicted model, not a curated record. NCBI's taxonomy places the organism in Eukaryota, Metazoa, Arthropoda, Insecta, Hemiptera, Aphididae.